AUGACGUCUGUGGCAGGUGAUGCGAUGAGGAGGAAGACGGCGUGUGUCACCGGAGGUGACGGAUACAUCGCCUCGGCCCUCGUGAAGAUGCUGCUGCAAAAGGGAUACACCGUCAAGACGACAAUCAGAAAGUCCGAUGACAUGGAGAAUCACCCCCAUCUCAAGGACUUGCAAGCGCUCGGUCCCUUAGAGGUCUUCCGCGCCGACCUGGAGGACGAGGGUAGCUUCGAUGAGGCCGUGGCCGGCUGCGACUAUGCCUUCCUCGUCGCGGCUCCGAUGAACCUCAACGCGGAGAACCCUGAGAAAGAAGUGAUCGAGCUGGCCGUCAGCGGAACCCUUAACGCAAUGAGGUCGUGCGUGAGGGCGGGGACGGUGAAGCGCGUGAUCCUGACAUCGUCAGUGGCGGCUGUCGCCGGCCGGCCUCUGCCACUAGGAGACAGCCAUGUCCUGGAUGAGGAGUCCUGGAGCGACGUUGAGUACCUCAGAGUUACCAAGGCCGGCGGCUGGGCCUACAAUGUCUCAAAGGUGCUUAUGGAAAAGGCGGUGCGGACUUUCGCGCAGGACAGCGGCAUCAGCCUUGUUACGGUGUGCCCCGCCUUCACGGUUGGCGAGGCGCCGGCGACGAUUGUCCACACCAGCGUCCCCGUUAUCCUUUCUUUGCUGACUGGUGACGACGAGAAGAUUCGCAGCCUGGAACUCGUCGACAGGGCGUCUGGCUCGAUCCCGAUGGUCCAUGUCCACGACCUCUGCCGCGCAAAGAUCUUCUUAGCCGAGGAGGAGGCUGCGUCAGGAAGAUAUAUCUGCAGCAGCCUCGACACCACCCUCGCGGAGCUAGCCACCUUCCUGGCCGCCAAGUACCCAGAGUAUAACGUCAAUACCGACAGGUUUGGUGGUCGCCCCGAGAAGUUGAGAGUCUGCAUUUCGUCGGCGAAACUCAUCGGGGAAGGGUUUGAGUUCAGGUACAAGGCGUUGGACGAAAUAUACGACGACGUCGUCAACUAUGGAAGGUCCUUGGGAAUCCUUCCGUACUAG
RNAcentral lists this ribosomal RNA (1032 nucleotides) under Triticum aestivum (bread wheat). RNAcentral describes it as "partial small subunit ribosomal RNA". Lineage: Eukaryota; Viridiplantae; Streptophyta; Magnoliopsida; Poales; Poaceae. The record is from RNAcentral.